Strigops habroptila (Kakapo) is the source of this 213-nucleotide long non-coding RNA. RefSeq lists it as uncharacterized. The transcript is spliced from 3 exons. Lineage: Eukaryota; Metazoa; Chordata; Aves; Psittaciformes; Psittacidae. The record is from RefSeq and is a predicted model, not a curated record.
UAUUUUUAAAAGACUGACAGAGUGCCCACUGUAUCUGUGAACAGAAUGUCAGAAAACAGCUCCCUCUUCUUUCUGCUUGGUUCGUUUUAAACAGAUGUAACUCAUAUCAAAUCAUACCAGAGUUUGCAAGGAUUCAUCUAGAAGUGUACAAUGUUGAUUGUAAAGUUCGAGUUUUAGUAACUAGUGUCUUUAUUGGGAAGGUACAGUGAAUUU